Anas platyrhynchos (mallard) is the source of this 6988-nucleotide long non-coding RNA. RefSeq lists it as uncharacterized. The record is from RefSeq and is a predicted model, not a curated record. Lineage: Eukaryota; Metazoa; Chordata; Aves; Anseriformes; Anatidae.
GUCCUACCAUUAUCUACACGAGUAAAGAGUCCUUCUCCAAAGGUUAACUGAAGUUAAAUAUUCUGGUAUUCAUAACAUCUAAAUGAUUAGCGUAGUAGUAGUCGGAGUUGUAGGAGUAGUAGUAAAAGUAGUUUUAUCCACCUUUAUCAUAAUACAAUUAUUACUUGAUGAGAAUGUAGAUAUAGUUAAUGUUUCUACUCCUAAUCUAAUAGGAUCCAAUUUCAUUUAAUGCAUCUCUGACACGUGGUUCCAUGAAACAUAGUGGAAUUUGACUGUUAUGAAAAUGAUGCAGUACUUCAUAGAAAAAAUGUCUUCUAAUCAUUCUGACAAACUACAAAAGAAAGGGGGGGUGGGGUGAGGCAGAAUUGCAGUAUACAUUAGGAGAUAUAUCAUAACAAAAUGGUGUCUGAUACUUGGUUAAUCGAAGUGAGAUAUUUUGAGGCAGUUAGAUUGUCAGAAUAUCCCAGUCAAUUAGACUUUCAAUAAAAUGUUAGAUUUUUAUUCAUCUCCAGUGGACAAUCAACAUCUUUUGGGAGAAUUUUUGUUCUUUCCAAAAUUGAAUUUUAUGUCAGAAAAUCAUUAUAAUAGAAGAUUCCCAAAUGAUUUUACUUAAAUGCUGAUAUGAUCUGCCAACUGUUCCUAGAACUGCUUCAUAACUGUCUUAAAAUUUAUAACCUCUGUUCUUCUUUUGGAAAUGGAAUAUAUCGAAUGCUUCUCUUAUUCUGGUAUGAACAGCAUGGCCAACAAAUAAAUGUAUUAUCCAUUCUCUUACCAGUCAAAAUUUAAUUAACCUCAUGUUUAUUUUCACUUCUUGGUCAUCUCUCAGUUGUUCUGUGAUAAUAAUUCAUUUUGGUUGGCUUAACACAAAAGUUAAAUUUACACAAAGUGAAUUUGGCAGAACCUCAGCUGUAUAUGCCAGAUGAUAUUUUAAUGUAUCUGUCUUUAUUGUGAAAUGAAUUUUGUGGAAUUUGUCUGUUGUACAUUCAGGCAUCCUUAAGGCUAACUACCUGCAGUACUGUGUUCAGCUUGGGGGGCUCCAACAUAUGACCUGUUAGAAGGGGUCCAGAGGAGGGCCACAAACAUGAUCAUAGAACUGGAACACUUCUCCUACAAAGACAAUCUGAGGGAUAUGGGGUUGCUUGGCCUCUACAGGGAGACCUUAUAGUGGCCUUCUUAUACCUAAAGUGGGCCUACAGGAAAGCUGGAGAGGGACCUGGUUGUUUUCUUCACUUUUGUUUUGACAUUAGUUGCUGUCCAAAUAGCCAGGUUUAUGAGUCAGUUAUCAUGGAGUGUACCUAUUACAUUCAGUGUGCAAACAAGGUCAUGAAGAGAAUGAACUACCGUGAACUUCUUUUCGUACCUCCACCCCCAUCCUACCUUCUCCACCUCCAUGGUAAACUUUCUUAUUUCAGGCCUAUAUAUUUGCCCAAAAACAAUAUAUUGAUUUUUUUUUUCCCAGAAAGUAAAUUUUAUUUUAAAAAUCAUUUAUGCCAGAAAAAAAAGUCUUUGUUCUAAACCCAGAAAACCCUUCAGUAUGACAUUUUAAGCUUUAUGUAAUUAUUAGUUUCUUUAGGCAUGUCAUAUUUCAUAUACAUUUAGUUUUCCCUGUUUUUAACUGAAGAUCAUACAUGCAAUGUAUUGUCUGUAUAACAAAUAUUACUACAUCACAUGUUUCUGAGGUUAUGAAGAAGAAUUUAAUUUUUAUUUACUUGUAUCUCUCUCUAAGUACCAUAACGAAUCAUUAUAAAGUUGUUCUCUUAGCUCUGAGUUUAUUCUAAAAUAUUAAGAUAUAGUUUCCACAACUGCUUUGCCUCCUUAAGUGCCACCUAGAUUUUCAAGUAUAAGAACUUAGAAACAAGCCUUUUUGCAGCAAGGCUUUUCACAACAGACAAUCUUUUUGGUGUUCAGCAAAUCUAUCUUCCCUUUCUUUCUCUUUGCUAGCCCAGCCAAUCUUCAUAUUAGCCAAUAUAUAUUUGGUUUGUAAUUGAAUUUCAGUUUAAUAUAUCACUAGAAAUUACUUAAAAAAAAAAAAAAAGAGAGAGAGAGAGAGAAAGAGAGAAAGAUGCCUCAGUACCCCUUUACCAAUCUGACAAAUAACUUCCCCUGCAUAUACACCAUCCAGAUUUGUUAGCUCUGUCUUUCUAACAUAGAACACAGGUUGCUGAGUAUAGGCAUAUAUGUAUAUAUAUAAUAUUAUAUAUAUAUAUAAACAAUAGUUAACUUCUUGGGCUAAGGAAAAUAUUCAACUUUCACUCUCAUUUAAGUUAGUUUGUUUUUUUCUGCUUGUUGCCAAACAGUUGAAAAUGAGAAAAUUUAAAGAAUGUGCUUUCUCUUCAUAUGAGUACACAACAGUUGAUGCUAGCAGGGCAUUUGACAGUAAUAAAUAGUAUCUGGAAUGUAACUCUGUUCAGUUGUCGCUGUUUCUUCUAUUCUGGGUAUGGGUGGAUGUAUAGUCUUGUUUCUAAAUGCCAUCACCUUCUAUCUGGGUAUGAAAUAUAGACUUAUCUUCAUCCUGGAGUCAUUGUAAUGCCAUUUUUUUAAACGGGAUUUAAAAUCACCCAGUGUAAUAUUGAUAGCAGUGCCAGUUAGGCACUGUCUUGUUUUUGCUUCUCAAUUAAUGACACAUCUAUGCGCUUAAUAUUUACAUGUUAGACUGAAAAGCUUUUACUGCAUAGGCAAACUUAACCAUUUUUAUUUUAGUGGAGCGAAUCAUAUUCUUCUGUUAUCUGUUUCCAUACCAAGUUAUUUCUAUUGAUGAAAAAAAAAAAAAAACAAUAAUUCACAGGCAACUCUAUUACUGUUGUUCAUAAUUAAACCAUCUCAACUGAAACAUACAACAGGCUACUUGUAAAAUUUAUGAACUCUGUGUGUGUGUGUGUGUGUGUGAGAGAGAGAUUUAAUAUCUGCAGCACACAGAAAAGUCUAAGCUACAAAGUUAACAAAUUGUGUAUAGGAAGGAGAAAUGCAUUCCCUGAUUAAGAAAUAAUUGAGCAUACAGGUAAGGGAAAAAUUGAGUAGUAAGACCAGAAGUUGCCUUCAUGAUGGUAUAAAAUAAAUCUAUGGUUUGGACACCCAAAAAUAUAUCUAAAGUGAUAAAGCAAAACAAGGUAAAUUUGAAGGUAGCAGAUCCUUAACUAAUAGACAAUAAAUAUAUUUCCUUUUUCAUGCAGCUUAAGGCAAAAAGGUAAAAAAAAAAAAAAAAAAAAAAAGUCAUGCUGACAGCUCUCAGGGGGAAAAAAGGAAAAAAAAAAUUGUUAUAGUGGUAAAUGAUAAACUCUAAAUGGCUUCCUUGUGAUUAACUUCAUAAAUUCUAAUUCUAUUCUACUAUAUCAUCAUGCAUGGAUGCUAUGUGCAAAGUAAUUUGAAUUACAGUGCAGGGAAGCCUGUUUUGAUGUAAAGUAGCUGUUGUGUAUUUUGUAGGAUGUAAGAAACACAGAGAUAUUUGCAUCAUCUAAUCUGCAUUCUGGGAUAUUACAUACUAUUUAAAUUAAUCCUGUUAAAUAAAUAAUUAAUAGCUGUGUGAUGAUUUUAGAUUAAUGGGUUUAAAAUAUACAUAUAUAUUUAAUUUAAAAGUAAGAAAAAAAAGAAAUAAAGGAUAAAAACAGAAUAUGUAAUUAAAUCAGUUAGUUGUGAAAGGAGUGAUAAAGUUAUGAUGAAUAAUCAUCAUAUAUUCAGAGCACAAUUAAUCAUAUAUGGUAAACUAAAAAAAAUAGCCUGAUUCUUCUUCUGUCUGCUAAAAUGCUUAUGGAGUCAGAAACUGUGCGAGUACUAUUUAAAUAUAUGCUAUAUUUACAACUUUGCUCAUACUGUCAUUAUGGAAAUCAUUGGCUUGCAGGUAUCUUUAAAACACCAUAAAUCCUAUAUUAUGUAUUAUUGCAACAAUUCUGGACUCAAAAAUUGGUGGCAAAUCUAAUAAUAUUGGUGAGGCCAAGAUUUUAUUAUUUAGGAAUUUUAGAUUAGAGUACUAAUCAAAGGUACUAAUCACACACAGGUGCAGUGCUAUGUAAGGGAACUCACAUAUGUAUUGCAUCAGCACUAUUGAUAUAGAAAGGAAAUAGUAAUUGCCUUAAGAAAACUUUAAGUGAGUCCAAGUUGGUGGCCCAAGGGCAACUUGACCUCUGGUCAGUUAAGAAAGAUAGAAACUCUGGAAGAGGCACCUGUUAGAUCAUGAAGUAAAAUGUGGAAGAAAUGGUAUAAGGAAAAAAAAUAAACAUCCCAUUUCAUUGUGAAAUCACUUCUUAAACUGAUAACAUUUAAGAUGCUAAAAAGCCUCAUUAAAGAAAUCCACCAGAACUGCAUUUGGGGAUGAAGGAACACAUGAUUUUCUUAUGAAAUCUCUAAUAUCUUUGCUAACCUUUCUUCAUUUAUAUUGGGAAGAACUGCCUUAAAUUACAAAGAAGACUUCAGUAUGUUCAAGCCUGUUUAUACACAGCUGCUAUAUACAUGAGAACAUCACAGAAGAAUUAAUCUGAGCAUUUUGAAGUUUGGCUCAUUCCACUGAUUUUAAGAGGCUUUCAAUCCAGUGCCACUAGUUGGCCAUUGGCCAUCAUUUCUGACAUUCAAGGGUAUGUGUGUAUAUAUCCAAUUUCCCAACAACUACUGGUAGAUACCUCAUCUCAUUUUAGUGCAUGAUUAUAAAAACACUAAAGUAGCACAUUUCUUAGCUGGAUAGAUAUGUUGCUAUUUAUGGGGAUUUUGUCAUGUAUAUUUAUGAGCUUCUAAAAUUGUAUAUCCAUUUUCAGAAUUUCUUUAGUGUCUAAAUCUCAUGAAUUAUAACAUAAAUGUUUUAAUAUGCAUGAUUAUUAACAAUACAUAAGAAAAAUACAAGUAAUAUUGUGACUAAUUUCCUGUGGGGACUGAUAAAUUGCCUGUAUAUUUAUUUCUUGUUGGAAAAUCUGACUUCAUAAUUUCAUAUGAUUCCUAGGUAUAAUAUGUGUCUUUGUCAAAUAAGGCAAAACAUAUUUGACAUCCAUUUACAUGCCAUUUAGAGAUCUUGGUGUACAUUAAUAGAAAAAUACAAACUUUUUUUUUUUUUUCCCCACCAAACAGGCUAUUGACCUGUCACUUAAAAAUGAUAAGAAUUUAUUUGGUACUAUUUCCACACCUUUACUGUUUUAAUUUAUGGACUGAUUAUUACUUUCAUAAACCUGUAGCCAGACUCAACAUCAGCUCAAGCUUGCAAGGAUGUCAUUUAAUUAGGAGGAAGAGAUGAACACUUUUCAACAACCCAUUCUUCUCACUGCUGAAUUUUUCUGAACUCGUUUAUCACACCCUGUUAACAAAUGCUGGCAAUAUAUAAGCAUUUUAAAUGUUGUAUAUGAAUUAAGAGAUUUAUGUAUGUGCUGGCUUAUGCUUUGUUGUUCCUAAAAGUGUAAAAUGAUGCCCUUAUUAGCUAUCUAAAUAGCCACUAAUGAUAUUUCUCUCUGGAUACAGUGCCUAGUGUCAUAAGGGAUGAACUCAUGCUGCAGCCUAAGAAUAAUUCAGCUUAAGAUUCCUUCAGCCAUGAGAUACAGAUCCCCUGGGAAUCGGGUUUUGUUCGUUAGUUUUGAAAACGUUUGAAAAAUACAAUGAUUUUUAAAGCAAAGAAUGAGAGGAGACCUCUAGUUUUCAUUACAAAAAUCAAACAAUCAUAUUCCCUCUGCUCCCAAAACAAACAAACAAAAAACACAUUUGCCAUAAUGCACAACUAUAGAAAUCUCAAAAAUACCUGUGGUAUGAGAAAGCUGUUUCCUGCUUUUCUGGGGAGUCACAUGCCUUGUUUUAAAUGUUCAGUAAACAGUAUCUGCUAUCUCACAUUUGAUAAAUAAAAUUUAUAGCCAGUUACAAAACAUGCCUCAGUGAAGAGUACUUAGGAAACCUCUGUUACACAUCUAUGAAGUAGUAUUUCUUGACUGCUACCAUUUCUAACUGUGAUAUCAUCUCUUUCCACAUCAAAGUCACUGCUGCUUAUUUUGUGGAAUGGGAUUUAAAAGUGGAGUUUCAAGCAAGGCAUUCUCCAGUAUAUGUGAUAGAUGUAGUAGCACAGAGACCAUUCCAUGUAAGCUUUUAGCCCCCAAGUCUCUAGAUUAUCAUCCAAAAUGUUCUGAAGAGCAUUAAUAAUUAAAAUAUUCUCAAGCUUUUUGGGUAAAGACAGUCCUGCUAAACAUAGGUUUGGAUAAACUGCUAAGAUCAACACUUGCUUGGAUUUUGGCAAGAGUAUUUUUCCACAUUACAGAACAUAUAACAAUUUCAGGUAAUUUGAUUUAAAAGAAGUCCACGUAAGAGCAAUUUGCAAAGCACUUCCUUGUCAAAACUUUGAUGGGUUGUAUUGUGGAAGGAAGUACAGGUAAACACACCUUACAUGUACACAAUAACCAUGUCAUUAAAUUCGGCAACACAGAGUAACGGAGUUUAUCUUUGUUUUCAUCAUAAUAGAGUUGCAUUUUCUCAUAAAUUAUGAUCACCCCAGUUAGUAGUGUAAUGAUAGUAGUGUAUCAGCUAGGGAUUCGCAAAAAAACUGCUUGUAGAAAGGCAUGCUAAAAAAAUAAAAAAAUAAAUCUUCAGUGAAUUUUAAAGUUACUUAAUUGUAUCCAAAUGGGAUGUGGAGAAAAUAGCAUUUAAACCAGUCAUUUUUGUAGUAUUCUGGAUUGCAUAUCUGGGAAGGAUUUAGCAGUCUAAGAUUGCAAGUGAAGAAGUGAUUGUGAAAGCAGUGACAGCUGCAAAUAUGAAUACUUAGCUUGCCAGGAUCCUGUCUUUACUGAAGAGUUAUAUUUUAAAGAUGUCUACAGUUGACUGGGAACCUGAGCUGUGGCAAGAAAUUGCUCUUCCUAAAGCACUCUACAGUAAAACAUACGUUGAAUGAAUUGUAGGCUUGGGUUAGUGUGAAUGUAAAAUGAAAAUUUUAAGGUUUAAAGUUAUAUGAAAAUCCUAAAAAAAAAUGUGUAUUGUUUUAUAUUUUAUGAUUUGUCAUCUUUGGUAAUCAUUAAACAAAGUAAACCUAAUUUUAAAA